Molecule: ribosomal RNA, 502 nt
Filed under: Cheilomenes sulphurea
Lineage: Eukaryota; Metazoa; Arthropoda; Insecta; Coleoptera; Coccinellidae
Description: partial large subunit ribosomal RNA
Rfam family: Archaeal large subunit ribosomal RNA
Source: RNAcentral
UUUGAUUAUAAUUUAAAGUAGGGCCUGCCCACUGAUAUUUAUAUUGAAGGGCCGCAGUAUUUUGACUGUGCAAAGGUAGCAUAAUCAUUAGUUUUUUAAUUGAAAGCUUGUAUGAAUGGUUUGAUGAGAAAAUGACUUUUUUUAAUUAAAAUUUAAGAAAUUUAUUUUUAAGUUAAAAAGCUUAAAUAUUUUUAAAAGACGAGAAGACCCUAUAGAGUUUUAUUAAUAAAAUUUUUAAGUUUUAGGAUUAAUAAUUUUAAUUUUUUUUAAUUUGAUUGGGGUGAUUAAAAAAUUAAAUAAACUUUUUUUUUAUGAAACCAUUAAUUUAUGAAAAUUUGAUCCAUUAAAAUGAUUAUAAGAUUAAAUUACCUUAGGGAUAACAGCGUUAUUUUUUUUUAGAGUUCAAAUCGAAAAAAGAGAUUGCGACCUCGAUGUUGGAUUAAAGUUAAAUUUAGGUGUAGAAGCUUAAAUAUUUGGUCUGUUCGACCAUUUAAACUUUACA